This 763-nucleotide ribosomal RNA is filed under the name uncultured Streptococcus sp. RNAcentral's name for it is "bacterial SSU rRNA". It matches the Rfam family "Bacterial small subunit ribosomal RNA", at positions 28 to 776 of the family's 1533-position model. Lineage: Bacteria; Bacillati; Bacillota; Bacilli; Lactobacillales; Streptococcaceae. The record is from RNAcentral.
GAUGAACGCGGGCGGCGUGCCUAAUACAUGCAAGUAGAACGCUGAAGGAGGAGCUUGCUCUUCUGGAAGAGUUGCGAACGGGUGAGUAACGCGUAGGUAACCUGCCUCUUAGCGGGGGAUAACUAUUGGAAACGAUAGCUAAUACCGCAUAAAAGUCGACAUUGCAUGAUGUUGACUUGAAAGGUGCAACUGCAUCACUAAGAGAUGGACCUGCGUUGUAUUAGCUAGUUGGUGAGGUAACGGCUCACCAAGGCGACGAUACAUAGCCGACCUGAGAGGGUGAUCGGCCACACUGGGACUGAGACACGGCCCAGACUCCUACGGGAGGCAGCAGUAGGGAAUCUUCGGCAAUGGGGGCAACCCUGACCGAGCAACGCCGCGUGAGUGAAGAAGGUUUUCGGAUCGUAAAGCUCUGUUGUAAGAGAAGAACGAGUGUGAGAGUGGAAAGUUCACGCUGUGACGGUAUCUUACCAGAAAGGGACGGCUAACUACGUGCCAGCAGCCGCGGUAAUACGUAGGUCCCGAGCGUUAUCCGGAUUUAUUGGGCGUAAAGCGAGCGCAGGCGGUUAGAUAAGUCUGAAGUUAAAGGCUGUGGCUUAACCAUAGUACGCUUUGGAAACUGUUUAACUUGAGUGCAGAAGGGGAGAGUGGAAUUCCAUGUGUAGCGGUGAAAUGCGUAGAUAUAUGGAGGAACACCGGUGGCGAAAGCGGCUCUCUGGUCUGUAACUGACGCUGAGGCUCGAAAGCGUGGGGAGCAAACAGG